CGGUGGAUUAUGUGGAUUAAUUCGAUGCAACGCGAAAACCUUACCUACCCUGACAUGUCCUGAAGCUUGGAGAGAUCCGGGUGUGCCCGAAAGGGAACGGGAACACAGGUGCUGCAUGGCUGUCGUCAGCUCGUGUCGUGAGAUGUUGGGUUAAGUCCCGCAACGAGCGCAACCCUUGUCAUUAGUUGCUACAUUUGGUUGGGCACUCUAAUGAGACUGCCGGUGACAAACCGGAGGAAGGUGGGGAUGACGUCAAGUCCUCAUGGCCCUUAUGGGUAGGGCUUCACACGUAAUACAAUGGCGCGUACAGAGGGUUGCCAAGCCGCGAGGUGGAGCCAAUCCCAGAAAGCGCGUCGUAGUCCGGAUUGCAGUCUGCAACUCGACUGCAUGAAGUCGGAAUCGCUAGUAAUCGCGGAUCAGCAUGUCGCGGUGAAUACGUUCCCGGGUCUU
RNAcentral lists this ribosomal RNA (450 nucleotides) under uncultured Nitrosomonadaceae bacterium. RNAcentral describes it as "bacterial SSU rRNA". It matches the Rfam family "Bacterial small subunit ribosomal RNA", at positions 930 to 1382 of the family's 1533-position model. The record is from RNAcentral. Lineage: Bacteria; Pseudomonadati; Pseudomonadota; Betaproteobacteria; Nitrosomonadales; Nitrosomonadaceae.